Harpegnathos saltator (Jerdon's jumping ant) is the source of this 561-nucleotide long non-coding RNA. RefSeq lists it as uncharacterized. Lineage: Eukaryota; Metazoa; Arthropoda; Insecta; Hymenoptera; Formicidae. The record is from RefSeq and is a predicted model, not a curated record. The transcript is spliced from 3 exons.
GUAUAAAAUAUCUUAUUUUCGAGGUUUCCUCGCGAAAAACGGCCAAGGUCCUCUCUUCAUGAUGCGCUCCAGGUGAUGUUGACCGUUCGCCGAUCAGCGGUGUUAUGGUGCAGGAAAACGCCGAGGGGUAGUAUCGCGGGGGAAUGAUUUAUGACUUCGGGGACCAGUUUGUGAAGCGCCCGAUGACCGUACAUCCGAAAUUGAGCUACGCGACAAUGGAGAAAUUGCGUUGCAAGUUCAGCGAUAUCCUGUCAGUUGUAUUUAUGCGAGUCACCUUAUUCCCAUAAUUUUUCUUAACGAGUCCAAAAAAAGAACUCAACGUUAUGCGUCAACCCGAUACGUUGCACUAAAAUCGUCCGGAAAACGAAAAAGUUGAAAGGAAAAGAGGGAAAAGACAGAGUCAAGGCAUGGCAGCACAGUUACCCCGAACGAUCAUCAAUCAUCAAGAGCGAGACAAUCGAAUAGCGCAGCCAACCGUCGAACAGCUGUCUCUUCGGUAGGCUCUAACCGUACACGUUACACGUUGCUACAGCUAUUUUACAAAAUAGGAAGAGAUUUUAU